AGAGGUUGAUACAUGGUUUGGAUCAAACCUUGAUGGGGACAAUAAUAUCGAAUCGAUUUGUAAUUUAGAAUCAAUUUAUUUAAAAUCGGGUACGAAACUUUACAAUAUAAAAUUACAUUCUGAAUAAGUUUAUUAACAUUUUUAUAUUCUGAGCGCCAAGCACGAAUAACUAUCGCAUUCGUAAUGUAAACGUAUCGAGAUGACGAUAUGUCAUGAGACGUUAACGGAGUGUGGCAGCACGAAGCCUAUUCUUUCAACUAUCGAGAGCUCGCAUCGAAUUCGAUAGUGACGUCAUGCUAAUGUAAACUAGAGAAGCAGCCAAGUGAACGAUUUGAAUGACUUAUUGAGCAUAAAGAUUUCGUUUGAAAACUAAAUUAAAUUUAUAUAUAUAUUUCAACCUUUGUCUACACGUUUUAUGAAAUAAUAUUUAUUAAAUAAAUAUUAAUUAUGUGCAAAAAGUUCUUAAAGCGAGUUAAGAGAAAUAUAACGUGACAUUAUCUAUGAAAAAAAAAAUAAGUACUUAGUUUCAUAAAUUUAUAUUUUUUUUUUAUGAUUUCCGAACGUCGUAUUUGACAUUUGUCAUUUGCCGGUUGUUUGUUUGUUAUUUUAUCUUAUGUAAAUAAAUAACAAUUUUAACAUGUUACAUUUAAAAUGAGGACGAUUCAACUCCAAUAUGAGCUAAUGGUGGAAUUUAUGCAAAAAUUGGAAUAUUUGUGGGACCAGUCCAAUAUUUCUGGGAGCAGUGGGCCUACUGUAUUCCUACCACACCACUCACUGUUCCUCACGAAGCCUACCCUUCGCCAGCGCCUCCACCAACACCACCGAUCCUCCAUCCGAGGAAGAUAGCUGGAAUCCUCCACCAGUGAAAAAACCUAAAGCGAGUUUGAUUAAAAUGUGUAUAGAGAAUGACAAGAAUACUAUGCUAGGGAGCGUGAGAAAAGUUAUUAUUUUUUAUUAGUUGGUUAUUUUUUGUUACUUACUGUUAAUUUUUAUUACUUAGUUGAUUAUUUUUUGUUACUUACUGUUAAUUUUAUAUUUAUUUCAAUUUUUCUGUUUUUAUGUUAUUUUAAAAUAUUAUCAAAAUAUUGUUAAUGGCAUUGUAUUUAUAAUAAUUAUUCUAACUGUGUCAAUACUGUGAAUGUGGUGCAUGUCUAUAAAUUGAUAUAAGCACAUGAUCUUGUGUCUUCAUCUUGUUUCUAAUUAAUGUCUUAUAAUAAUAAAUAAAUAAAUUAUAUAUUAUUGGGAUUAAGAUUAGAAUAAAAUAGUUUUUAAGUUAUUUAUAUAUGUAUAUACAUUUUAUUAACUAUAAAAAGAGGAUUUUGUAGAAAAAAGUAAUAAAACACUUGAAAUAAC
Molecule: long non-coding RNA, 1353 nt
Organism: Spodoptera frugiperda (fall armyworm)
Lineage: Eukaryota; Metazoa; Arthropoda; Insecta; Lepidoptera; Noctuidae
Exons: 2
Source: RefSeq, a predicted model, not a curated record